AGUGAACGCUGGCGGUAGGCCUAACACAUGCAAGUCGAACGGCAGCACAGUAAGAGCUUGCUCUUACGGGUGGCGAGUGGCGGACGGGUGAGGAAUACAUCGGAAUCUACUUUUUCGUGGGGGAUAACGUAGGGAAACUUACGCUAAUACCGCAUACGACCUACGGGUGAAAGCAGGGGAUCUUCGGACCUUGCGCGAUUGAAUGAGCCGAGGUCGGAUUAGCUAGUUGGCGGGGUAAAGGCCCACCAAGGCGACGAUCCGUAGCUGGUCUGAGAGGAUGAUCAGCCACACUGGAACUGAGACACGGUCCAGACUCCUACGGGAGGCAGCAGUGGGGAAUAUUGGACAAUGGGCGCAAGCCUGAUCCAGCCAUACCGCGUGGGUGAAGAAGGCCUUUGGGUUGUAAAGCCCUUUUGUUGGGAAAGAAAAGCAGCAGGUUAAUACCCCGCUGUUCUGACGGUACCCAAAGAAUAAGCACCGGCUAACUUCGUG
RNAcentral lists this ribosomal RNA (492 nucleotides) under uncultured bacterium. RNAcentral describes it as "partial 16S ribosomal RNA". It matches the Rfam family "Bacterial small subunit ribosomal RNA", at positions 29 to 507 of the family's 1533-position model. The record is from RNAcentral.